AUUGAACGCUGGCGGCAUGCUUUACACAUGCAAGUCGAACGGUAACAGGCCCUCGGGUGCUGACGAGUGGCGAACGGGUGAGUAAUGCAUCGGAACGUACCCAGAGGUGGGGGAUAACGCAGCGAAAGCUGUGCUAAUACUGCAUGUGAUCUGAGGAUGAAAGCGGGGGACCGAGCAGCAAUGUUUGGCCUCGCGCCUUUGGAGCGGCCGAUGUCGGAUUAGCUAGUUGGUGGGGUAAAGGCCUACCAAGGCGACGAUCCGUAGCUGGUCUGAGAGGACGACCAGCCACACUGGGACUGAGACACGGCCCAGACUCCUACGGGAGGCAGCAGUGGGGAAUUUUGGACAAUGGGCGCAAGCCUGAUCCAGCAAUGCCGCGUGCGGGAAGAAGGCCUUCGGGUUGUAAACCGCUUUUGGCAGGAACGAAACGGUGUCCGCUAAUACCGGGCGCUAAUGACGGUACCUGCAGAAUAAGCACCGGCUAACUACGUG
This 492-nucleotide ribosomal RNA is filed under the name uncultured bacterium. RNAcentral's name for it is "partial 16S ribosomal RNA". It matches the Rfam family "Bacterial small subunit ribosomal RNA", at positions 29 to 507 of the family's 1533-position model. The record is from RNAcentral.